AUCACUUCUCAGCCAUACUAUACUAAGAUACGUGUAGUAUCUGUUCUUAUCAGUUGAAUAUCUGAGAAGUCCUCUAUCCAGGGACAAUAUAUUAAAUGGAUUUUUGGAGCAGGGGGAUGGAAUAGGAACUCACUCCAUCUACUCUACACAUUGACCUGGUAUUGUGGUACCAGGAAUGGUGCACUCCUU
RNAcentral lists this small nuclear RNA (189 nucleotides) under Castor canadensis (American beaver). Its description in RNAcentral is "U2 spliceosomal RNA (ENSCCNG00000028582.1)". It matches the Rfam family "U2 spliceosomal RNA". From Rfam's summary of the family: U2 is a small nuclear RNA (snRNA) component of the spliceosome (involved in pre-mRNA splicing). Complementary binding between U2 snRNA (in an area lying towards the 5' end but 3' to hairpin I) and the branchpoint sequence (BPS) of the intron results the bulging out of an unpaired adenosine, on the BPS, which initiates a nucleophilic attack at the intronic 5' splice site, thus starting the first of two transesterification reactions that mediate splicing. Lineage: Eukaryota; Metazoa; Chordata; Mammalia; Rodentia; Castoridae. The record is from Rfam by way of RNAcentral.